CGUAAUAUCGAUUAGGAACCUACACAUUAUUUGUAUGACAACAAAAUCGAUGUCGCACUUUAUGUAUUUCUAUGGUGUACGUUGAUACAUAAUUUUUCCAAACUCAGAAACUAAGGACUUUAUACGGCUAACUAUAAAAAGGGGCCACUGCCAAUUAGAUCGACCAUGAACAAAACGGAUGAGAGAACCUUUAACAUACAGGACUAUCCGUUUGCAGUUGUGAUAGGUGUUGUUGUCUAUCUGGUACUUUGGGCCUACCAGAUAUAUCGAGGACCUAACAGACCACAUUAUAACAAUGCGAUAGGAAACACUUAUCCUUCUGACAGACUGAUAGGCUCCCUCAGCAAUGAAGUGUGGUCAACGUCGUUAAACAGAACAGAAGGUAGAGCGGAAGAAUCUUCUUUCGGUAACUUUUCUCAAGGUAACAUAAUUCUAUUUAACAUUAUAAUAAAAUAGAUAUUACCAUUUUGAGAUGUCACUUGGAUACUGAGCAUUGUAAGAAACAAAAUACAUAUUAACAGCUAUUAGUUUUAUUUCUUGAUAUGCACAAACAUAUUACUCCAUGAAAAAUCUUUGGCUUCAAAUUCAAGCAGAAGCUAUGAAUAGCAAAUAACUACUUUUAAAUUAAAGUAGACUAAGGGCAGUAUUUAUGAAGUUUCGGUUUCUAAUCUUUUUAUACUUCGCCAUUAACUUUUUAAACUUUCGAACGCAAUUGAAUAGUAUACAUGGGAUACAGUGGAUACUCUCCUCAGGUUAUAAGAUUUUAAAUAAAGGCAACAGUAGUAUACCGCUGUUCAAAAGUCAUACAUCGAUUGAGAAAAAAGCAAAUCUGGGUUACAAUAUAAACCCAAGGGAAACAUAUCAACUAUAAAUGGAAAACAACGAGACAACAUAAUGCUGAUACUGAUAUUUUAAGACUGGUACCGUAUGUGUCACCAAUUAUAAAGAUUAAUUUGAAAAGAAUGUAUUAAAUCAUUAUUGUAAGCCUUCGAAUGUUCUAUGAAAUGACGAAACAGUGGCUCGACUUUUAUUAAACUUAAAAGACGUGAUAAGAAAAACACAUGAAUAGUUCUUUUGUUUAUGAAGCUAGCUAAGCAUAAUUAUAGAGAAUAACAUAAUACCAUUUAAGUUAGUUAGACAAAAAAGAUAUCUUGUCUUUUCUAGUUAUAUUGUAAAAAAGGGGAAAAUACCGAUAUACAAAUAAAUUUUGUAUGUUUGCCUCCUUGUUUUUUCAUAUUUGUUACACAUGUUACAGAUCAGACCAACUGUCUGCUGAUUUAAGUAAGUUACAGCAGGACCAUCCUAUAUUGUUGGUGCCACCUCCUACACCGGAUCCACCGAAUCCUCAGUGAGAUAGAUGUUCUGAAUGUUCUGAAUCAAGUUUCAAGAACGGAUUGUAAUAAAAAUUGUAGUGAAACAUUGACAUUAAUAUGUUUCAUACAUGCCGAUCUUAUAUAUAUAUAUAUAUAUAUAUAUAUAUAUUAAAUAGAAAUGGCUUUACUCGAUAUGAGAAGUUAGAUCAUUACAUUUUUU
This is a long non-coding RNA of Mytilus californianus (California mussel), 1533 nucleotides long. RefSeq lists it as uncharacterized. The transcript has 5 exons. The record is from RefSeq and is a predicted model, not a curated record. NCBI's taxonomy places the organism in Eukaryota, Metazoa, Mollusca, Bivalvia, Mytilida, Mytilidae.